UUGACCUCGGAUCAGGUAGGGAUACCCGCUGAACUUAAGCAUAUCAAUAAGCGGAGGAAAAGAAACCAACAGGGAUUACCUCAGUAACGGCGAGUGAAGCGGUAAGAGCUCAAAUUUGAAAGCUGGCUCCUUCGGGGUCCGCAUUGUAAUUUGCAGAGGAUGUUUCGGGAGCAGCCCCCAUCUAAGUGUCCUGGAACGGACCGUCAUAGAGGGUGAGAAUCCCGUAUGGGAUGGGGUGUCUGCGCCCAUGUGAAACUCCUUCGACGAGUCGAGUUGUUUGGGAAUGCAGCUCUAAAUGGGUGGUAAAUUUCAUCUAAAGCUAAAUAUUGGCCGGAGACCGAUAGCGCACAAGUAGAGUGAUCGAAAGAUGAAAAGCACUUUGAAAAGAGAGUUAAAAAGCACGUGAAAUUGUUGAAAGGGAAGCGCUUGCGAUCAGACUCGCCUUGGGGGUUCAGCCGGCAUUCGUGCCGGUGUACUUCCCCCAGGGCGGGCCAGCGUCGGUUUGGGUGGCUGGUCAAAGGCCCUUGGAAUGUAACGCCUCUCGGGGCGUCUUAUAGCCAAGGGUGCCAUGCAGCCUACCUGGACCGAGGAACGCGCUUCGGCUCGGACGCUGGCAUAAUGGUCGUAAGCGACC
RNAcentral lists this ribosomal RNA (634 nucleotides) under Penicillium spinulosum. RNAcentral's name for it is "eukaryotic LSU rRNA". It matches the Rfam family "Eukaryotic large subunit ribosomal RNA", at positions 1 to 649 of the family's 3401-position model. The record is from RNAcentral. Lineage: Eukaryota; Fungi; Ascomycota; Eurotiomycetes; Eurotiales; Aspergillaceae.